Molecule: ribosomal RNA, 253 nt
Filed under: uncultured bacterium
Lineage: Bacteria
Description: partial 16S ribosomal RNA
Rfam family: Bacterial small subunit ribosomal RNA
Source: RNAcentral
UACAGAGGUCUCAAGCGUUGUUCGGAUUCAUUGGGCGUAAAGGGUGCGUAGGCGGCGGGGUAAGUCAGGUGUGAAAUCUCGGGGCUCAACUCCGAAACUGCAUUUGAUACUGCCUUGCUAGAGUACUGGAGAGGAGAUUGGAAUUUACGGUGUAGCAGUGAAAUGCGUAGAUAUCAGGAGGAACACCGGUGGCGAAGGCGGCUUGCUGGGCGUGAUCUGACGCUGAGGCGCGAAAGCGUGGGGAGCGAACAGG